GCUUGCUCUCGGGUGACGAGUGGCGGACGGGUGAGUAAUGUCUGGGAAACUGCCUGAUGGAGGGGGAUAACUACUGGAAACGGUAGCUAAUACCGCAUAACGUCGCAAGACCAAAGAGGGGGACCUUCGGGCCUCUUGCCAUCAGAUGUGCCCAGAUGGGAUUAGCUAGUAGGUGGGGUAACGGCUCACCUAGGCGACGAUCCCUAGCUGGUCUGAGAGGAUGACCAGCCACACUGGAACUGAGACACGGUCCAGACUCCUACGGGAGGCAGCAGUGGGGAAUAUUGCACAAUGGGCGCAAGCCUGAUGCAGCCAUGCCGCGUGUAUGAAGAAGGCCUUCGGGUUGUAAAGUACUUUCAGCGGGGAGGAAGGCGAUAAGGUUAAUAACCUCGUCGAUUGACGUUACCCGCAGAAGAAGCACCGGCUAACUUCCGUGCCAAGCAGCCGCCGNAAUACGGAGG
Molecule: ribosomal RNA, 461 nt
Filed under: Klebsiella oxytoca
Lineage: Bacteria; Pseudomonadati; Pseudomonadota; Gammaproteobacteria; Enterobacterales; Enterobacteriaceae
Description: bacterial SSU rRNA
Rfam family: Bacterial small subunit ribosomal RNA
Source: RNAcentral